Non-coding RNA from Paramuricea clavata, 429 nucleotides. NCBI's taxonomy places the organism in Eukaryota, Metazoa, Cnidaria, Anthozoa, Malacalcyonacea, Plexauridae. The record is from the annotation of a GenBank genome assembly.
UCGCCACCCGGCGACGCAAUUUUUUUUCCGUAGACAGUCGGACUCGUCAUUGAUAGUCGGACGCGUCAUUGAUAGUCGGACGCAUCAUUGACCCGCGCCCUUAAACAAAACAUUCAGCGGAUACUCUUCGUAUUAGAUGCGCCUUCCCAGUGUGUCUUGCGCACGCAAUUGGUGAUUUCAAAAUAUUGUAUUGCUUGGUUGAGAUGUCAAAAUCUGAGCAGGACACAUUGUGGCUUCAUAUCUUGUGUGGUGAUGACAUCUGACAUAUUUUAUUAAGUUAUAUCCGCCAUUCCCCCUUGCUUUUCUUUGCUUUUGUAACUGUUUUUUGCCUCUUUUCUUUGCUUUUAAGCUAUGCCUUUCAAACAUCAUGCAUGGAUACGAUGUAUUAAUACAUCUAUAUUUAUUAUUCUCAAUAGAUUAAUAAUAAAU